GCCAUCAUGGUGUAAUGGUCAGCACACUCGGCGCGUGUUCAAGAAGUCUGAGGUUCAAAUCCCGGCGAGGGCA
This 73-nucleotide transfer RNA is filed under the name Stegodyphus mimosarum. It matches the Rfam family "tRNA". Rfam says of the family: Transfer RNA (tRNA) molecules are approximately 80 nucleotides in length. Their secondary structure includes four short double-helical elements and three loops (D, anti-codon, and T loops). The record is from Rfam by way of RNAcentral. Lineage: Eukaryota; Metazoa; Arthropoda; Arachnida; Araneae; Eresidae.